UGCUGGUUAGCUCAGUUGGUUAGAGUGUGGUGCUGACAAUGCCAAUGUCAUGGGUUUGAUCCCUGCAUUGAUGCAU
This is a non-coding RNA of Podarcis lilfordi (Lilford's wall lizard), 76 nucleotides long. The record is from the annotation of a GenBank genome assembly. Lineage: Eukaryota; Metazoa; Chordata; Lepidosauria; Squamata; Lacertidae.